ACAGCAGCAGCCACGGGAAUACAGAGGGUGCGAGCGUUAAUCGGAUUUACUGGGCGUAAAGCGUGCGUAGGCGGCUUCUUAAGUCGGAUGUGAAAUCCCUGAGCUUAACUUAGGAAUUGCAUUCGAUACUGGGAAGCUAGAGUAUGGGAGAGGAUGGUAGAAUUCCAGGUGUAGCGGUGAAAUGCGUAGAGAUCUGGAGGAAUACCGAUGGCGAAGGCAGCCAUCUGGCCUAAUACUGACGCUGAGGUACGAAAGCAUGGGGAGCAAACAGGAUUAGAUACCCCGGUAGUCCCUGUCUCUUAUAC
Molecule: ribosomal RNA, 305 nt
Filed under: uncultured bacterium
Lineage: Bacteria
Description: partial 16S ribosomal RNA
Rfam family: Bacterial small subunit ribosomal RNA
Source: RNAcentral